CCUACGGGAGGCAGCAGUGGGGAAUUUUGGACAAUGGGCGCAAGCCUGAUCCAGCCAUGCCGCGUGAGUGAAGAAGGCCUUCGGGUUGUAAACUCUUUCGGCCGGGAAGAAAUCGCAUUCUCUAAUAUAGGAUGUGGAUGACGUACCGGGCUAAAAGGCCCGAUCAUCGCG
RNAcentral lists this ribosomal RNA (171 nucleotides) under uncultured Thauera sp. RNAcentral describes it as "partial 16S ribosomal RNA". It matches the Rfam family "Bacterial small subunit ribosomal RNA", at positions 338 to 505 of the family's 1533-position model. Lineage: Bacteria; Pseudomonadati; Pseudomonadota; Betaproteobacteria; Rhodocyclales; Zoogloeaceae. The record is from RNAcentral.